GGAAGUAUGCCCGAAAAAUAAGGACCUCCUUGAUAGGGAGAACGAUAGGGGUUUAAACCCCCUUACUUCCU
Molecule: transfer RNA, 71 nt
Filed under: Nesorohyla kanaima (Kanaima treefrog)
Lineage: Eukaryota; Metazoa; Chordata; Amphibia; Anura; Hylidae
Description: tRNA-Ile
Source: RNAcentral